CUGGGUGUGGCUCAGCUUGGUAGAGCGCCACGUUGGGGACGUGGAGGCCGCUGGUUCAAAUCCAGUCACUCAGACCA
RNAcentral lists this transfer RNA (77 nucleotides) under Clostridia bacterium. RNAcentral's name for it is "tRNA-Pro". It matches the Rfam family "tRNA". Rfam says of the family: Transfer RNA (tRNA) molecules are approximately 80 nucleotides in length. Their secondary structure includes four short double-helical elements and three loops (D, anti-codon, and T loops). Further hydrogen bonds mediate the characteristic L-shaped molecular structure. tRNAs have two regions of fundamental functional importance: the anti-codon, which is responsible for specific mRNA codon recognition, and the 3' end, to which the tRNAs corresponding amino acid is attached (by aminoacyl-tRNA synthetases). tRNAs cope with the degeneracy of the genetic code in two manners: having more than one tRNA (with a specific anti-codon) for a particular amino acid; and 'wobble' base-pairing, i.e. permitting non-standard base-pairing at the 3rd anti-codon position. RNAcentral also lists the same sequence under 1 other name. Lineage: Bacteria; Bacillati; Bacillota; Clostridia. The record is from RNAcentral.